RNAcentral lists this ribosomal RNA (253 nucleotides) under uncultured bacterium. RNAcentral's name for it is "partial 16S ribosomal RNA". It matches the Rfam family "Bacterial small subunit ribosomal RNA", at positions 524 to 776 of the family's 1533-position model. The record is from RNAcentral.
UACGUAGGGCGCAAGCGUUAUCCGGAAUUAUUGGGCGUAAAGAGCUCGUAGGCGGUUUGUCGCGUCUGCCGUGAAAGUCCGGGGCUCAACUCCGGAUCUGCGGUGGGUACGGGCAGACUAGAGUGAUGUAGGGGAGACUGGAAUUCCUGGUGUAGCGGUGGAAUGCGCAGAUAUCAGGAGGAACACCGGUGGCGAAGGCGGGUCUCUGGGCAGUAACUGACGCUGAGGAGCGAAAGCGUGGUGAGCGAACAGG